RNAcentral lists this long non-coding RNA (2752 nucleotides) under Diabrotica virgifera virgifera (western corn rootworm). Its description in RNAcentral is "uncharacterized LOC126879991". Lineage: Eukaryota; Metazoa; Arthropoda; Insecta; Coleoptera; Chrysomelidae. The record is from RNAcentral.
GGGGGCCGACAAAAUGAGCUUUUUUUUCUGCUGAUGUUAUAUAAAAUACUAAUUUAAAUAAGCUGAAGGGUGCCUAUGCUAGUUUUGCAGGUCACACCUUAUACCUAGCGCCUGGACUUCAUAUGAGUGCUCCAUGUUCGGUGUAACUGCUCAAAUGGAUACGCAUGCGCUACCCUACAUAUAAACCACAAACCAGUUGAAUCAAAGAGGGCGAGCACCAAUGUAUCCACUAUGUGGAGCUGCUACACCAAGCAUGGAGCACCCAAGUAUGGAUAAGUACCUUUAGGAAUGUUCCUUUGUUUUCUGGUGUAGCACUAUAGUCUGUUUUUAAACCAAGAGGAGUAAUUCAAUACACCUGCUUCUGAGAGAGUGACUACCUAAACUCAAUUUGCACAGUAUCAUCCAACCAAGUUUGACAACUAUUUAGCUACUUAGGAACCAAUCUUUUCUGCAAGACUCCUUAAUACUGGUCAUGUUGCAUAGUUCCUUUUACCACAUAAACAUAUCCCAUUCCUUUGCCAUUUAUUUCAAACCUGAGCUGGGGUGUUUAAUUGUUUUAUUAUACAUCCCUUUUUAUUUUUCCCCCUGGACAUCUUCCAACAAAAUUGGGUCUUAUCAUCCAUAAUUUGAAAUGUUUCUUCAUCACGAAAGCAAACUUGGAGAUGUGAAUAAUAAUUAUGAAGUAUGCAAACAAAUUGAUUUGUAGUAGAAUAGAGCAGGAACAGAAGAUCAACAGAAAGAUCUUUACAUUUUGUAAAAAAUGAUAGUGUAGAAAAAGGUCGUAGUCAUUUAAAAAAACAAUAAGGGAUGGUACGGGACUGAGGGGGUGCCUUUCCCAGCAAGUUUAAAUAUGGCAUAAUGUCUCCCCCUUCACUUAUUAUUUGAUGUAUUUUUGCGCUAAAAAUCAGUGGCUCAAAAGUUAUUUAAGGUGGAUAGUUUUAUCUGAAGAGCACUGUAUAAUAUUUGCUGUGUGCAAGUACUUGGAGGGAAUACGAGAAACAAUCGUGCGCGAUUAGCAGAGAAUUCUUGCAACUUUCUUAAAUAAUUCAUAUUGUCAAUUGAAAUUGUCAAAUUGACGUAUAUUUCAUAUCUACUGUCAUUGAAGAAGAAAAAUUAUAUGUUGCUUCACAAUAUUGGUAUGAUAUGCAAUUAUUAUAUGAAAUUAAAUUAAUUAAUUGUAUUUUGCUUGUAGUAAUGCAUUUUAAUAAUUAAUUUUAUUUACUACCUACAAUUGUUUACUGUACAUUCCAUGUCAAAUCACUCAGGCAAAAAACUUUGGAUCUCCGAUUUGUCUGAAAAUUGGUAUAUAGCUUCUACGGGACAUAAAAAUAAGAUAUUUAAGGUCAAAAAUCUUCUUCCUUUCUCAAAAUGUUAUUUUAUGCGAUUUUACAGUGAUUUGGAGUUUAUUUAAACAAAUUUGCAUUUUCUGUCGCAAAGUGUCAAUGAAAAACAUAAUAUGUCAUUAACAUGUCAUUACAUGGCAUGUGAAAAAAUGUCAUUACAUGGCAUUAUAAUAAGUUAUUUUGAUUCAAAACAAGGUUUUGUUAAACUUUUGUAGUGUAGAAAACGUUAAAAUACAUUUUUCUCCAUUCCCAAAAUACGAGGCAUGUUUUUUAUGUAAGUACCGUUUUGCGAUUCCGCCGCCGCAGCGCUAUGGUCGGCAUUCCGCGCAUGAGCGCUGGUUACCUACAUCUCUUGUCUACGCACACUGACGCCAUUACAGUCUGAUUCUUCAUUGUAUACUUGUUUACUCCAGUGUUUAAGAUGCCUCCAACAAUCGUGAGUCCCGCUGAUUGUGAAGUACGGGCUGUUAUUUAUUUAUUUAUUUUACGGGCAAGCCCAAUUCUACAAAAAUACAUAGUGUACAGAAAAAAAAACAAUAACAUAAUAUAAUAUAAAAAACAGACAUACAGAAAUAUAAAUAUAAUAUUAGAAGUAAAUAUGUACUAUGAAAUAAUAUCAUAAAACCAAGUUAACAAAUUACAAAACCAAGUUAACAAAUUACAGACGCUUCACUCAAAUAUUGAUCCCAUCUAAAUUUCUUUUAAAACGACUGAUGGAGUUGUCGAACAGUUGUAAAUUGCAAAGGGAGUUUGCUAAAUUCAAGACUCUGGGUACGAAUGAAAAAAGUGAAUAAUUAAACCUGUGGAAUGGUACAUAAAAUGUUCGCACUUGUCUAGUGGUGCGAGGUGGUACAAACAGUGCGAUCUUAUUAAGUAGUUGAGAACAACUGCAUAUACCAUUUAAGAUCUUGAAUAAUAGCAAAAGGUCCCUUUGUUUUCUCCUGCUUGCAAGAGAAGGGACCUGCAGUUGAUGCUGCCAUACAGCGUAAUCUUGAUAGGUAUGAAGCUUAAAAGCAAUGUAACGGAAGAAACUAUUUUGGACUUGUUCAAGUUUCCUAAUGUAGACCAAGUAGUGUGGGGACCACACUGAAGAACAAUACUCAAGGUGAGACCUGACCAAAGAGAAGUAAAGAACUCUAAUACUGGAUAUGUUUGUAAAAUCACGAGUUGUUCUUUUUACAAAACCCAGCAUUUUCAUAGAUGUUUGAAUGACAUUGAUGAUGUGAGUAUUGAAACAAAGAGAGUUUUCCAGUGUAAUCCCCAAGUCCUUGAUUCUAUUAACAGUGUUGAGCAAUUGGCCAUCAAUGUAAUAGUUUGAUAAUAUUGGGUGGUGAGUACGGUUAAAGUUAAUUACAUGACAUUUGAUUGAAUUAAGGUUCAUACCGUUAAGUGAACACCAUGCAGAGAGG